RNAcentral lists this long non-coding RNA (500 nucleotides) under Pan troglodytes (chimpanzee). RNAcentral's name for it is "long non-coding RNA NONPTRT015237". Lineage: Eukaryota; Metazoa; Chordata; Mammalia; Primates; Hominidae. The record is from RNAcentral.
UUGCGUGGUUUUGAUCCUUACAUAAAUAUAACUGUAUUAGUUUGUUCUUGCACUUAACUGUAUUGGUUCGUUCUUGCAUUGCUAUAAAGAACUACCUAAGACUGGGUAAUUUAUAAAGAAAAGAGGUGUAAUUGACUCACAUUGUAAUUGUUACAUGUUUUUCUGGGGAGAAACUUUGAGACUAUGCAAUAUAAUGUUUCUCACUAAACUUUCAUUUUCUAAUUUUAAUACGUUUUGAUGUUUUUUGCUUGCAACAAUUAUUACUGUGGUGGUUUUAAAUUUCAGUUUGGUAAAUAUUUUAAAUAUUGGUGAAUUUAAAUUUUUCUCAUUCUUUUUUCAUGUAUUAAGAUAAAUUUUACUGUAAACAAGAACUGUCUCUUCUCAUAAAUUUAUUUGUAUUGGUAUAGACCUUUUUUUUUUUUUUUGAGACAGAGUCUCACUCUGUUGCCCCAGGCUGGAGUGCAAUGGCGCAAUCUCGGCUCACUGCAACCUCCGCCUCC